UACAGAGGUCUCAAGCGUUGUUCGGAUUCAUUGGGCGUAAAGGGUGUGUAGGUGGCGCGCUAAGUCGGGUGUGAAAUUUCGGAGCUUAACUCCGAAACUGCAUUCGAUACUGGCGUGCUUGAGGACUGGAGAGGAGACUGGAAUUCAUGGUGUAGCAGUGAAAUGCGUAGAGAUCAUGAGGAAGACCAGUGGCGAAGGCGGGUCUCUGGACAGUUCCUGACACUGAGACCCGAAGGCCAGGGGAGCAAACGGG
This 253-nucleotide ribosomal RNA is filed under the name uncultured bacterium. RNAcentral describes it as "partial 16S ribosomal RNA". It matches the Rfam family "Bacterial small subunit ribosomal RNA", at positions 524 to 776 of the family's 1533-position model. The record is from RNAcentral.